AUCUGGGUAGUUUAAGUAAAAUUUUGACUUGUGGCGUCAAGGAUACAAGAAAGGGAAACUUGUCUUAGAUC
RNAcentral lists this transfer RNA (71 nucleotides) under Agnetina aequalis. RNAcentral describes it as "tRNA-His". The record is from RNAcentral. Lineage: Eukaryota; Metazoa; Arthropoda; Insecta; Plecoptera; Perlidae.